RNAcentral lists this ribosomal RNA (430 nucleotides) under Providencia rettgeri. RNAcentral describes it as "partial 23S ribosomal RNA". It matches the Rfam family "Bacterial large subunit ribosomal RNA", at positions 1074 to 1532 of the family's 2925-position model. Lineage: Bacteria; Pseudomonadati; Pseudomonadota; Gammaproteobacteria; Enterobacterales; Morganellaceae. The record is from RNAcentral.
CGUAUCACUUAAACUGAUUAAGUGAUACUCAAAUGUAUCAAAACGAUUGACGGAGCGAAGCGACGUCAAUGCGUCCAACAAAGUCGAGGCGGAAACGUCAGGCAGUCAGUUUAAGGAUACGUUCGUUGGGUAGGGGAGCGUUCUGUAAGCCUGUGAAGGUGUGCUGUGAGGCAUGCUGGAGGUAUCAGAAGUGCGAAUGCUGACAUAAGUAACGAUAAUGCGGGUGAAAAACCCGCACGCCGGAAGACCAAGGGUUCCUGUCCAACGUUAAUCGGGGCAGGGUGAGUCGACCCCUAAGGCGAGGCAGAAAUGCGUAGUCGAUGGGAAACGGGUUAAUAUUCCCGUACUGGUGAUAAUUGCGAUGGGGGGACGGAGAAGGCUAGGCUAUCCGGGCGACGGUUGUCCCGGUUUAAGGAUGUAGGCAGGUGAA